This 816-nucleotide ribosomal RNA is filed under the name Triticum aestivum (bread wheat). RNAcentral describes it as "partial small subunit ribosomal RNA". The record is from RNAcentral. Lineage: Eukaryota; Viridiplantae; Streptophyta; Magnoliopsida; Poales; Poaceae.
AUGAUCGAUCGGCGGCCUCCUUCAAGGAGGACCACCGGACACAAUGAGUUCGCUAGUUUGGAACUGCCGUGGGGGUGCCAGACAGUUCAUGAGGUUUUGUCCCUCUGCAAAGCCAAUUCCCGGGGGCUGGUUUUUCUCUCCGAAACUAGACAAGCCUCAAGCAAGAUGAAGAAUCUUAAAUGGAGAUUGCAAAUGAAGGGUUUUGCGGGUGUAUCCAGUGAUGGUUUGAGUGGGGGCUUGGCCCUCUUUUGGGGUGAGAAUCUGCAAGUGACAGUAUUGGACUCAUGUGCACGGUAUAUAGACGUGCAAAUUGUAGAUGAAGCAAAUGAUAAAUCAUGGAGGAUGACUUAUGUUUAUGGAGAACCAAGGGUGGAGAAUAGACAUCGUAUGUGGAGUUCUCUAUCAAAUUUACGAGCUUUCUCUUCGGAAACGUGGUUGGUUUGUGGAGACUUUAAUGAAGCAAUGUGGCAACACGAACACCUCUCCCAUACUCAACGGUCUGAAAAUCAAAUGCAACAGUUUAGGGACUGUUUACUCUCUUGUGAGUUGAUGGACUUGGGGUUCUGCGGGAUCUCAUAUACAUAUGAUAAUGGUCAAGUGGGCAACAGAACGUCCGGGUGCGUUUGGAUAGAGCAUGUGCAGACGAAGCCUGGAAAGAUUUGUUUCCCUUCACACAAGUUGAUCAUCUCGCGUCUUCAUGCUCGGACCACUGCCCUUUGCAGGUGCGGCUAUCACAUGUGGAACCGCCCAAGGCUAGAGCUACGCCCAGAUAUGAGAUCAUGUGGGAAUGGCAUCCAGUACUGGCUUCUGUCGUAG